Long non-coding RNA from Aedes albopictus (Asian tiger mosquito), 926 nucleotides. RefSeq lists it as uncharacterized. The transcript has 2 exons. The record is from RefSeq and is a predicted model, not a curated record. NCBI's taxonomy places the organism in Eukaryota, Metazoa, Arthropoda, Insecta, Diptera, Culicidae.
UAUGUGCUCAUUCAGCACUUCGAAUGAGGUGACGAAAGUCGAGUCGAAUGCGUCACCCGAUUCCCGUAGUCGAAUGCGGUGAGAAGAGUCGAUGUGAGUGAACACCGAUGAACUCUCACCGCAUUCUCGUAGUCGAUUUUGAUCGACAAACGUCGCUUUCAAGUGACGUUUGCGGGUGAGAAGAGUCGCAACCUCAACAGGUGUCGAGAGCGCACUCGAAUCAAGUUAAGCCUAGAGUUAAACGCAAAUUAAUGGAAUGGUCGAUGGAACGGUACAUCGUCCAACCGACUGUCGGCGGGCGCAUCCAGUAGGUUCCAGUUAAACUCCAUGCAGCCCCUGCUCAUCCCAACACCGCGAAAAAAAAAUUCGUUAACGUUGAUUAUUCUACGCCCAGUUCACAGCGGAAAUUCGAAAGAAACUUCAGGAUUCGCCGUAGGUUCUAGAGCGAUCGCUCAACGAACGACGCCGGAAUAUUUAGUAGAAGUGAACUCAGCGCCUUGGUGCGAACUUUAUACUCCACCGCUUCCCAAACCAUUUCAAUGCAUUGGCCGGCCAGGAGGUGACCGAGAGGAGCAGGCCCGUUCUGCACCGAACAGCUUCCGGCAGGAACUGGAACAGAAACUUGGAUUUCGGUAACAUGUUCAGCGACAGGAUCAUACGGACGGAACCACCCCAAACGGAGAUCUUGAUGAUCGUGCCAAGGAGCAAAUGGAAGGCGUUUGCCUGAUGAAUUAUUCGGGAUUGAAGGAGGAUGUGUGUCCGCAAGGCAUGGACGGAAGGAGAGUUGCAAAAAUUGAGCCUGCUUGUGUAAUCGUGGACUUGAAUGUACUACGAGUGUCGUUAUAGAAGCAUCCGCUUGUGAAAACAUGAGAUUCAACUGAGCUGAAAAGUAUUUAGACAAAUAAAUAGAAACUGGAAACAAAAAA